Molecule: ribosomal RNA, 467 nt
Filed under: uncultured bacterium
Lineage: Bacteria
Description: partial 16S ribosomal RNA
Rfam family: Bacterial small subunit ribosomal RNA
Source: RNAcentral
GACGAACGCUGGCGGCGUGCUUAACACAUGCAAGUCGAACGGAAAGGCCCUGCUUUUGUGGGGUGCUCGAGUGGCGAACGGGUGAGUAACACGUGAGUAACCUGCCCUUGACUUUGGGAUAACUUCAGGAAACUGGGGCUAAUACCGGAUAGGAGCUCCUGCUGCAUGGUGGGGGUUGGAAAGUUUCGGCGGUGGGGGAUGGACUCGCGGCUUAUCAGCUUGUUGGUGGGGUAGUGACUUACCAAGGCUUUGACGGGUAGCCGGCCUGAGAGGGUGACCGGCCACAUGGGGACUGAGAUACGGCCCAGACUCCUACGGGGGGCAGCGGUGGGGAAUAUUGCACAAUGGGCGGAAGCCUGAUGCAGCAACGCCGCGUGCGGGAUGACGGCCUUCGGGUGGUAAACCGCUUUCGCCUGUGACGAAGCGUGAGUGACGGUAAUGGGUAAAGAAGCACCGGCUAACUACGU